Molecule: ribosomal RNA, 254 nt
Filed under: uncultured bacterium
Lineage: Bacteria
Description: partial 16S ribosomal RNA
Rfam family: Bacterial small subunit ribosomal RNA
Source: RNAcentral
CACGUAGGGUGCGAGCGUUGUCCGGAAUUAUUGGGCGUAAAGAGCUCGUAGGCGGUGUGUCGCGUCGGCCGUGAAAACCUGCAGCUUAACUGUGGGCUUGCGGUCGAUACGGGCAUCACUGGAGUUCGGCAGGGGAGACUGGAAUUCCUGGUGUAGCGGUGAAAUGCGCAGAUAUCAGGAGGAACACCGGUGGCGACGGCGGGUCUCUGGGCCGAUCCUGACGCUGAGGAGCGAAAGCGUGGGGAGCGAACAGG